GAUCCUGCUCCAGCAGGGGGGAUUGGACGAGAUGAUCUUUGGAGGUCCCUUCCAGUUCCUGACAUUCUGUGAUUCUGUGCAAACUUGGUUCACGGUAGUACUUUUGCUGCUGGGAAAUAGGAGCGCUGAUGUUUGGAAGUUCCGGAUGCUGUCAGGAGUUAUUCAAGCCCAUUGGUGUUAAUUUGACCCUGGACUGGCUGCUGCUUGACAUGCUGUCUGCACAGAGAUUUUCAGGAGGAGCUGGAGCUAAUGAAACUGUGUGGGGAAGUUGUGAGCUUGAUCCGAUCUAAUCAACAGCUUGAAAAUGACCUCAAUCUCAUGGACAUCAAGAUUGGACUGCUAGCGAAGAACAGAAUGACACUGCAGAAAGAGAACUGCAGCAGAAACAUCAAGGCUUCAAGUGUUUUAAAAACAAAGCACCAGAAAAGAACCCACUCGGGACCAAGGGAAAGCAAUAGACGGUAUGCUUGAAGGCUCUGAGAACUGUUUGUCUGUUCACUUGUGGUUACAUGAGUCAUGGACUUGCACACCUUA
Long non-coding RNA from Lagopus leucura (white-tailed ptarmigan), 534 nucleotides. RefSeq lists it as uncharacterized. Lineage: Eukaryota; Metazoa; Chordata; Aves; Galliformes; Phasianidae. The record is from RefSeq and is a predicted model, not a curated record. The transcript is spliced from 4 exons.